RNAcentral lists this ribosomal RNA (376 nucleotides) under uncultured bacterium. Its description in RNAcentral is "bacterial SSU rRNA". It matches the Rfam family "Bacterial small subunit ribosomal RNA", at positions 524 to 898 of the family's 1533-position model. The record is from RNAcentral.
UACGUAGGUGGCAAGCGUUGUCCGGAUUUACUGGGCGUAAAGGGAGCGUAGGCGGAUACUUAAGUGGGAUGUGAAAUACCUGGGCUCAACUUGGGUGCUGCAUUCCAAACUGGGUGUCUAGAGUGUUGGAGAGGAAAGUGGAAUUCCUAGUGUAGCGGUGAAAUGCGUAGAGAUUAGGAAGAACACCAGUGGCGAAGGCGACUUUCUGGACAAUAACUGACGCUGAGGCUCGAAAGCGUGGGGAGCAAACAGGAUUAGAUACCCUGGUAGUCCACGCCGUAAGCGAUGGGUACUAGGUGUAGGAGGGAUCGACUCCGCCUGUGCCGCCGUUAACACGAUAAGUACCCCGCCUGGGGAGUACGGUCGCAAGAUUAAA